This is an RNA transcript of Hibiscus syriacus, 717 nucleotides long. It is a transcript of the gene named protein NONRESPONDING TO OXYLIPINS 2, mitochondrial-like, with no coding region annotated. The record is from RefSeq and is a predicted model, not a curated record. The transcript is spliced from 4 exons. Lineage: Eukaryota; Viridiplantae; Streptophyta; Magnoliopsida; Malvales; Malvaceae.
CGAAUCGAAAACGGCACUGUGAGCUAAUACCUAAACCCUGUCUUCCCGCUUUACUUCCUCCAAGGUUUGAGCUUCGAUUAGUAAAGUUUUUCGAUUUCCUCUCUCCUUUUAUUAUUUGCUAAUGGCUUCAGCUUGCAAGAGCUUCAUCAGUAGAUCAUCCUCCUCCAUCAAAUCCGCCUUUAAAACCAACGGUCCAAAAUCCCCAUUCUCAAGAUCUGCCGCUGCUCCCUCCUCCACCCGAUCACCUCUCCCCUCCCAAUCCACCUCUCCUCUUCGCCGUUUCACUUUCUCCAGGUGUCCUUCGGAGCUGGGAUGUGCGCAUUCACUGUUGCCGCUGCACAGUGCGGUGGCGGCGGCGAGGCUGUCGUCCUGCCUGAGCUCAACAUCGAGGAGUUGCCGGGCACUUUCUCAGGGCACAUAAGUUCAAUAUGCUUGAAAGAAAUAAAGUGGGAAUUUACAGUGACAGGCUCAUCUUCAUUCUCAAAUGGAAUUGAUGGUACGUGAGACGUUGCUGUCUUCAGAAGGCGAAGCCUGUCUUCUAUUUUUCAGUUUUGUUUGACGUUGAUUUCAGUGGGAAACCAGUUUUAGAUGAUCUUAGUGACGUUUUUAGUGUUAUGUUUAGAAGUUCGAAAACAGAUAUAAUAUACAGCAUUCAUUAAUUUGCUUGCACUCAAUUGUUGGUUGGAGUUUAAUGCUAUUAUCAAUGCUUUAUUUACA